CAUACGGCUCAGUAACGCGUAGUCAACCUACCCUAUGGACGGAAAUAACCUCGGGAAACUGAGAAUAAUAUCCGAUAGAACAUUAUGCCUGGAAUGGUUUAUGUUCCAAAUGAUUUAUCGCCGUAGGAUGGGACUGCGGCCUAUCAGUUUGUUGGUGAGGUAAUGGCCCACCAAGACUAUUACAGGUACGGGCUCUGAGAGGAGUAGCCCGGAGAUGGGUACUGAGACACGGACCCAGGCCCUAUGGGGCGCAGCAGGCGAGAAAACUUUGCAAUGUGCGAAAGCACGACAAGGUUAAUCCGAGUGAUUUCUGCUAAAGAAAUCUUUUGUUAGUCCUAGAAACACUAACGAAUAAGGGGUGGGCAAGUUCUGGUGUCAGCCGCCGCGGUAAAACCAGCACCUCAAGUGGUCAGGAUGAUUAUUGGGUCUAAAGCAUCCGUAGCCGGCUCUGUAAGUCCUCGGUUAAAUCUGUACGCUUAACGUACAGGCUGCCGGGAAUACUGCAUAGCUAGGGAGUGGGAGAGGUAGACGGUACUCGGUAGGAAGGGGUAAAAUCCUUUGAUCUAUUGAUGACCACCUGUGGCGAAGGCGGUCUACCAGAACACGUCCGACGGUGAGGGAUGAAAGCUGGGGGAGCAAACCGGAUUAGAUACCCGGGUAGUCCCAGCUGUAAACUAUGCAAACUCAGUGAUGCAUUGGCUUGUGGCCAAUGCAGUGCUGCAGGGAAGCCGUUAAGUUUGCCGCCUGGGAAGUACGUACGCAAGUAUGAAACUUAAAGGAAUUGGCGGGGGAGCACCACAAGGGGUGAAGCCUGCGGUUCAAUUGGAUUCAACGCCGGG
Molecule: ribosomal RNA, 839 nt
Filed under: uncultured archaeon
Lineage: Archaea
Description: bacterial SSU rRNA
Rfam family: Archaeal small subunit ribosomal RNA
Source: RNAcentral